This 1258-nucleotide ribosomal RNA is filed under the name Conger myriaster (whitespotted conger). Its description in RNAcentral is "partial 16S ribosomal RNA". It matches the Rfam family "Bacterial large subunit ribosomal RNA", at positions 699 to 2596 of the family's 2925-position model. The record is from RNAcentral. Lineage: Eukaryota; Metazoa; Chordata; Actinopteri; Anguilliformes; Congridae.
AUCAUAGUCUGAGACCCCGAAACUAGACGAGCUACUCCGAAGCAGUCUAAAAGGACUAACCCGUCUCUGUGGCAAAAGAGUGGGAAGACUUCCGAGUAGAGGUGAAAAGCCUACCGAGCCUAGUUAUAGCUGGUUGCUUAAGAAAAGAAUAUGAGUUCAGCCUUAUAAGUUUCUCAAAAAUCAAAAUGAAAGAAUAAAGUAACACAUAAGAGUUAGUCGAAGGGGGUACAGCUCCUUCGAAAAAGAACACAACCUUACCCAGGUAAAUAAGGAUUAUACUAAAAAAGGACAUGACUUUCAACAGUGGGCCCGAAAGCAGCCACCUCUAAUAGAAAGCGUUAAAGCUCAAGAACAGCCACACCAAAAAUAAAAAUAACCACUCCUAAUUUCCUAAUAAUAUUAAGCUACCCUAUUUUAUAGGAGAAAUUAUGCUAAAAUGAGUAAUAAGAGAAACUAGACCCUCUCCGGGCACACGUGUAAAUUAGAGCGGACAAACCACUGACAACUAACGGACCCAAAAAAGAGGGUAAAACAACAAAACUCAAUAAACAAGAAAAACCUAUUAAAACAACCGUUAACCCAACACAGGAGUGCCACUUAAGGAAAGACUAAAAGGGGAAGAAGGAACUCGGCAAACACAAACCUCGCCUGUUUACCAAAAACACCGCCUCCUGCAAAUAGAAUGUAUUGGAGGUCCUGCCUGCCCAGUGACAAUAGGUUCAACGGCCGCGGUAUUUUGACCGUGCAAAGGUAGCGUAAUCACCUGUCUUUUAAAUAAAGACCUGUAUGAAUGGCAAGACGAGGGUUUUACUGUCUCCUCCCCCCAGUCAAUGAAAUUGAUCUACCCGUGCAGAAGCGGGUAUAAAAACAUAAGACGAGAAGACCCUAUGGAGCUUUAGGCACACAUCAAAUAUGUAAAAAACCAAAUCUUCCAAAUAGGCCUAAAAAAUGAGAAAAACAAGUAUUAAUGAUUAAUUGCCUUCGGUUGGGGCGACCACGGGGAAAAAUAAAACCCCCACAUGGAAUGGGUAAAAUUAUCCUAAGCCAAGAAAAACAAUUCUAAGCAACAAAAUUUUUGACCAAUAAACGACCCAGGGACAACAUCCCUGAGCAAUGAACCAAGUUACCCUAGGGAUAACAGCGCAAUCCUUUCCCAGAGCCCAUAUCAACGAAAGGGUUUACGACCUCGAUGUUGGAUCAGGGCAUCCUAACGGUGCAGCCGCUGUUAAGGGUUCGUUUGUUCAACGAUUAAUAGCCC